AAUUCCUUAUUACAAAGAAUCUCCAUUAAGAAUAUUUGAAACAAUCAGCUAUAAGAUAAUUUUGAAGUUACAUCUUAUUUCUGGAAGAAGAUUCCAAAUGAGAGUUGUUGAGGCCCAAGCGACAAGGCUGCUUCCAGACUACGUUUGGAAUCACCAUACCUCAGUCACCUACAUUGUCUCGGGCUGGGCUGGGGAACCUUUUUCAGCCCAAGGGCCACACUCCCUUCUGGGCAACAUGUCAGUGUUAGAUUGACUCUGCAGCCAUGUCUGCACCACACCUCGCUCCCGCACCUCGCUCCCGCACCUCAUCCCUCCCCUCCUGGCAAACUGAAAAUGGAUCACUGUCCAAGCUGAAUCAACUGCUAUAUUGGAGAAGAUUUUCGUUGAAGCCUAUCUGUUCAAGUAUCCUAUUCUUCAGUGGCUUGCAGAAUAACAACUGCCCACCUACAUAGCAAAAGAACCUUUUUACAGUACCCACAAAUAUGCUCAAUGCAUCCAUUAGGAACCAACAGUACAAACAAACUAUAAAAAUAACUGUAAAAAUAUUCUGGAGAGUGCUUAAUGGGGUGACAUUCAUCCCAAAGAGAGUUGGAAGAAAAAAUGUCAGAGACACUUAAGCUCAGUAACUAGAACUAUAAAGUGAAUCCAGAGAGACACCUUUGCCUGUUCCUUACACUAACAAAUUGUCAGACUAAGAUGAAUAAAUACAGUGAGCAACGUAAUAACAAAAAUAAAUGUAAAAUAAAUGUGUACCUGAUAA
Long non-coding RNA from Rhineura floridana, 760 nucleotides. RefSeq lists it as uncharacterized. Lineage: Eukaryota; Metazoa; Chordata; Lepidosauria; Squamata; Rhineuridae. The transcript is spliced from 3 exons. The record is from RefSeq and is a predicted model, not a curated record.